CGAACGGGUGAGUAACGCGUGAGGAACCUGCCUCAAAGAGGGGGACAACAGUUGGAAACGACUGCUAAUACCGCAUAAGCCCACGGGUCGGCAUCGACCUGAGGGAAAAGGAGCAAUCCGCUUUGAGAUGGCCUCGCGUCCGAUUAGCUAGUUGGUGAGUAAUGCCCACCAAGGCGACGAUCGGUAGCCGGACUGAGAGGUUGAACGGCCACAUUGGGACUGAGACACGGCCCAG
RNAcentral lists this ribosomal RNA (235 nucleotides) under uncultured bacterium. RNAcentral describes it as "partial 16S ribosomal RNA". It matches the Rfam family "Bacterial small subunit ribosomal RNA", at positions 99 to 334 of the family's 1533-position model. The record is from RNAcentral.